GGAGGAACCGAAGGGAAACACCCCUUGAGGCUCCCUGUUCGGCUUGUCCCCUGCCCUUCUCACCCUUCCCCGUUGGCACGAGAGCGAGGCGGGACCUGGGCGUGCGCCUGCAUAGAACGGAGAGCCGAGGGCGGGACGAGCACUGCGCCUGCGCACGGGAAGGAGUCGCGUCUGCAGGACAUCUCCGCAGUAACGAACGCGAGGAGAGUAUAACGCGCUUGCGCGGAGGAAGGGGGUGUUCUGGGCAAUACAAUGCGCCUGCGUGGGCCGGCCGCGGCUGGUCGGUGGCGGUGGAGCCGGUGGGAGCUCCCCGUGGGCCGGUAACAGCGGACGGGGCGCCACAGCCAGUGACACAAUCUAAUCAAAGGGACGGUGAGAGGACAGCAGAACAAAACAUAAAGGUAAGAUAACAGGUGUUAUAAACAUUUUAUUCUAAAUUAAAAGUGUGCUGUAUGUUUUUGUCAGUGAAGGGAUGAUCUGUUGUAUUUGAUAGUAUUCAUUGCAUGGGCAGUCUGGUAAUGUUGCAGUUCAUUGUUUGCAGAAAUUCAAAAUGAGGUAGAAAAAGACACAGCUCUUAGGUGACAUUAUAUCCUAAAUCGUGCUGGUUCAGUAUCUGUUCUGAUGUCUGAAGAUAAGCCCAUAUCAUAGGGAACUCCUAAAUUGAAUUACUUUCUCUUGUUAAAGACAACAUACUUGUAUGGCUAAGUCCUAAAACUCCUGGGGACAUGCUACUCCAAACUCCCAUGAAGUCAGUGAGAAGUUGGAGCAUGCAAAGAAUGCAGGAUGAGGCCCUAGAUCAUAGGUAACCAAUUAUUUUUUGUCAAGGAGCAGACUCCAGAGAAAAUCCUACAAAAAUAAUAAGUAAAUAGAAAGAUUUUGCAGUGCGUUCAGAAGCAUCUGUUGGUCCAGAUUUGGCCUGCGGUCCUCCUAUUGACUACCCCUGCCCUAAAUGAAUCUCUGUGCUGGUGGCAAGUCCAGGCUUGACCUCGCUGUAGGCUGAAGUCACGCAACAGCACUGGCAGAAGCAGUACAGGCUUCCCCUUGCAGUGCUAACUACUACUGCGCCUUGAGCCUGCACUAGAGGGCCUACCUUUGUGGUGAGAAGGGGAGAGUUCAGUCCUUGUUUUCUCAGUUGAGACUGCCUGUAAGGGAGUCAGUUGUGAUGGUGAUUUUUGUGUGUAUAUGUGCUGUGCAAACCUGGAAACUGAAGCUAUCAAUUCCUUCAGUUCUAAAAUAAAAACUCAGAAAAAAUUAUAGUAUAGUAUGGC
RNAcentral lists this long non-coding RNA (1268 nucleotides) under Chrysemys picta bellii (western painted turtle). RNAcentral describes it as "lncRNA (ENSCPBG00000011137.1)". The record is from RNAcentral. Lineage: Eukaryota; Metazoa; Chordata; Testudines; Emydidae.